Molecule: non-coding RNA, 429 nt
Organism: Jaculus jaculus (lesser Egyptian jerboa)
Lineage: Eukaryota; Metazoa; Chordata; Mammalia; Rodentia; Dipodidae
Source: the annotation of a RefSeq genome assembly
AUGAGGUGCCCUGCUCAGCUCCUGGGGCUGAUGAUGCUCUGGAUCCCAGGAUCCAUUGGUGAUGUCGUGAUGACACAGACUCCACUGUCCCUGCCUGUCACAGCAGGAGAGCCUGCCUCCAUCUCCUGCAGGUCAAGUCAGAGUCUCCUACAUAGUAAUGGAAACACAUAUCUAGAUUGGUACCUGCAGAGGCCAGGCCAGUCUCCAAGGCUCCUGAUAUAUAAGGUUUCCAAUCGCUACUCUGGGGUCCCAGACCGGUUCAGUGGCAGUGGGUCUGGGACAGAUUUCACACUCAAAAUUAGCAGAGUAGAGCCUGACGAUUUAGGAGUUUAUUACUGCUUCAGAGCACUGGGAAACUUACUGCUUUUCUCCAGUUCUAGCCAUUUAGACAAGAUUGGCACAUAUGAACUGAAAAGUGGAAUUCAAUAA